Molecule: long non-coding RNA, 302 nt
Organism: Gallus gallus (chicken)
Lineage: Eukaryota; Metazoa; Chordata; Aves; Galliformes; Phasianidae
Source: Ensembl
CAAGAAUUGCAGAGGAUGACUACUCUUCUGCCCAGGCCGUUCAUCUGGAUGCCAGGACCUAAAGCAUGAAAAAUAUCUCAAAAGACCUAUGGUGAAUUCUUCAUGGAUUACUGGCCUGCAAGAAUUAUCAAGUUUUGAUGGAAUUUCUUUGAAGGAAGCAAAAUAUACCCUCCAUGAAAACUACCUCCUGACAAAGAUUUUGAGUGCUGCACCUCAUGUUCACAAGACAACAGCAGUGAUGAAUGCUUGAAGAUUUACUUUUUAGAAGUGGGAACAUUUACACACCCACAAGUCAAGUCAGG